UACGGGGGGGGCAAGCGUUGUUCGGAAUUACUGGGCGUAAAGGGCUCGUAGGCGGCCAACUAAGUCAGACGUGAAAUCCCUCGGCUUAACCGGGGAACUGCGUCUGAUACUGGAUGGCUUGAGUUUGGGAGAGGGAUGCGGAAUUCCUGGUGUAGCGGUGAAAUGCGCAGAUAUCAGGAGGAACACCUAUUGCGAAGGCAGCUCGCUGGGACGUAACUGACGCUGAGACGCGAAAGCGUGGGGAGCAAACAGG
Molecule: ribosomal RNA, 253 nt
Filed under: uncultured bacterium
Lineage: Bacteria
Description: partial 16S ribosomal RNA
Rfam family: Bacterial small subunit ribosomal RNA
Source: RNAcentral